Molecule: small nuclear RNA, 104 nt
Filed under: Chinchilla lanigera (long-tailed chinchilla)
Lineage: Eukaryota; Metazoa; Chordata; Mammalia; Rodentia; Chinchillidae
Source: RNAcentral
GUGCUCACUUUGACAACACAUACACUAAAAUUGAAAUGAUACAGAGAUUAGCAUGAGCCCUGCUCAAGGAUGACAUGUAAAUUCAUGAAGCGUCUCAUAUUUUU